GUACUCGCUUUGGCAGUACACUCACUAAAACUGGAACGAUACAGAGAAGUUUAGCAUGGUGUCUGCGCAAGGAUGACACGCAAAAUCGUGAAGCGGUAAAAAAAGAA
Small nuclear RNA from Schistocerca cancellata (South American locust), 107 nucleotides. The record is from RefSeq and is a predicted model, not a curated record. Lineage: Eukaryota; Metazoa; Arthropoda; Insecta; Orthoptera; Acrididae.